CCUACGGGGGGCAGCAGUGAGGAAUAUUGGUCAAUGGACGAGAGUCUGAACCAGCCAAGUCGCGUGAAGGAUGACUGCCCUAUGGUUUGUAAACUUCUUUUAUAUGGGAAUAAAAUGUUCCACGUGUGGGAUUUUGUAUGUACCCUAUGUAUGAGGAUCGGCUAACUCCGUUCCAGCAGCCGCGGUAAUACGGGGGAUCCGCGCGUUAUCCGGAUUUAUUGGGUUUAAAGGGAGCGUAGGUGGAUUGUUCAGUCAGUGGUAAAAUUGAGGGGCUCAACCUCUUCGAGCCGUUGAUACUGGUUGUCUUGAGUGAGUGAGAAGUAUGCGGAAUGCGUGGUGUAGCGGUGAAAUGCAUAGAUAUCACGCAGAACUCCGAUUGCGAAGGCAGCAUACCGGAGCGCAACUGACGCUCAUGCACGAAAGUGUGGGUAUCGAACAGGAUUAGAUACCCGAGUAGUC
This 459-nucleotide ribosomal RNA is filed under the name uncultured bacterium. RNAcentral's name for it is "partial 16S ribosomal RNA". It matches the Rfam family "Bacterial small subunit ribosomal RNA", at positions 338 to 795 of the family's 1533-position model. The record is from RNAcentral.